Molecule: long non-coding RNA, 1038 nt
Filed under: Trifolium pratense (red clover)
Lineage: Eukaryota; Viridiplantae; Streptophyta; Magnoliopsida; Fabales; Fabaceae
Description: long non-coding RNA (TPRA_LNC006382)
Source: RNAcentral
AUCAAUGUAUUUAAGGAGAAAGUUUCACAAAUUGAUGUCUUGAAGUAGCAAAUUGAAUUUCUAAUGCAAAUGCAAAAUGCUGCCGAAAACUAGGUAAAAUUUCAUUCUUGUUCAUCACAAGCUUAAUCGGAAUACUAAUUAUAAUAUUGACAGUUGGUCCAAAUGUUUUAAGUUCUGAUUUAUGUUCAGUUAUAGAGCACAUUUCAAUUGUAAAACAUGAUUUUGCAAAAGAUUUUGUUCAAUUUGUUAAUCAUUUUUGUUUCUAUCUAAUUUGAGUACACUACAUGAUGUGAACAUAGAGGAAGAGAAUAGCGUGCAACUCAGUAUCAUUUGGAAGUUGCCUUGGUGAUUUAGAUAUUAGAAUUGGAGAAUAACCCAGGUAAAUGCAAUACUUUGGUUGUGUUCAUCACAAGUACUCUACCAACUAUCCAAUAAUUAAGUGUUGUCUCACAUUUCUAAUAUUAUUUUUUAUAGUUGUGAAUUUGUAUGUGUGUGGAAUAAGGAAUACCUUUGUAAUGUUAUUUUAUGCAUUUAAAUUAGAUACAAUAUCAGACCAAAUUAUGGAGCAAUAUUGAUUGUUGUUGUGUGCUUGGGUUGGAUUUUCCAUACUAGAGUUGUUGGGUGCAUCUGAGGUUAAAUAUGGCAUGUAUCGGCAUCUAUAUUUUGGCAUUUGUGUGGUCUUACUUCUCUAUGCAGGUUGCAAUUUGGAAUUGAUCAGAGUUGGUUUUGGUAUUUCUUUUAUUGAGAUGAUGCAGGAUAUGUCAAAGACUCACAGUAAAGAAUGGAGUUUAUUUUGUGAAGGGUUGCCUCAUGUCCUGGCAUGGAGUCUUGGUCUAUAUGUUUUGUCCAUUUAGUCUUUUAUGAUUCUGGUCAAUAUGGAGUCUUCGUUUGUAUAUGUUUUUGCCACUUAGUCUUAUGUGUUAAUAGUCCCGUCAAUAUUAGUGACUGGAUUGUGUUGUAACUAGGAUAGUUGUGUUGUAACAAAUGGAUUGUGACUAUGUAUUUGAUUGUGAUUAAUGAAAAUCAAAGGUAUUUAUU